CGGGACACGUGGUAUCCUGUCUGAAUAUGGGGGGACCAUCCUCCAAGGCUAAAUACUCCUGACUGACCGAUAGUGAACCAGUACCGUGAGGGAAAGGCGAAAAGAACCCCGGCGAGGGGAGUGAAAAAGAACCUGAAACCGUGUACGUACAAGCAGUGGGAGCACGCUUAGGCGUGUGACUGCGUACCUUUUGUAUAAUGGGUCAGCGACUUAUAUUCUGUAGCAAGGUUAACCGAAUAGGGGAGCCGAAGGGAAACCGAGUCUUAACUGGGCGUUAAGUUGCAGGGUAUAGACCCGAAACCCGGUGAUCUAGCCAUGGGCAGGUUGAAGGUUGGGUAACACUAACUGGAGGACCGAACCGACUAAUGUUGAAAAAUUAGCGGAUGACUUGUGGCUGGGGGUGAAAGGCCAAUCAAACCGGGAGAUAGCUGGUUCUCCCCGAAAGCUAUUUAGGUAGCGCCUCGUGAAUUCAUCUCCGGGGGUAGAGCACUGUUUCGGCAAGGGGGUCAUCCCGACUUACCAACCCGAUGCAAACUGCGAAUACCGGAGAAUGUUAUCACGGGAGACACACGGCGGGUGCUAACGUCCGUCGUGAAGAGGGAAACAACCCAGACCGCCAGCUAAGGUCCCAAAGUCAUGGUUAAGUGGGAAACGAUGUGGGAAGGCCCAGACAGCCAGGAUGUUGGCUUAGAAGCAGCCAUCAUUUAAAGAAAGCGUAAUAGCUCACUGGUCGAGUCGGCCUGCGCGGAAGAUGUAACGGGGCUAAACCAUGCACCGAAGCUGCGGCAGCGACGCUGAUGCGUUGUUGGGUAGGGGAGCGUUCUGUAAGCCUGUGAAGGUGUGCUGUGAGGCAUGCUGGAGGUAUCAGAAGUGCGAAUGCUGACAUAAGUAACGAUAAAGCGGGUGAAAAGCCCGCUCGCCGGAAGACCAAGGGUUCCUGUCCAACGUUAAUCGGGGCAGGGUGAGUCGACCCCUAAGGCGAGGCCGAAAGGCGUAGUCGAUGGGAAACAGGUUAAUAUUCCUGUACUUGGUGUUACUGCGAAGGGGGGACGGAGAAGGCUAUGUUGGCCGGGCGACGGUUGUCCCGGUUUAAGCGUGUAGGCUGGUUUUCCAGGCAAAUCCGGAAAAUCAAGGCUGAGGCGUGAUGACGAGGCACUACGGUGCUGAAGCAACAAAUGCCCUGCUUCCAGGAAAAGCCUCUAAGCAUCAGGUAACAUCAAAUCGUACCCCAAACCGACACAGGUGGUCAGGUAGAGAAUACCAAGGCGCUUGAGAGAACUCGGGUGAAGGAACUAGGCAAAAUGGUGCCGUAACUUCGGGAGAAGGCACGCUGAUAUGUAGGUGAAGCGACUUGCUCGUGGAGCUGAAAUCAGUCGAAGAUACCAGCUGGCUGCAACUGUUUAUUAAAAACACAGCACUGUGCAAACACGAAAGUGGACGUAUACGGUGUGACGCCUGCCCGGUGCCGGAAGGUUAAUUGAUGGGGUCAGCGCAAGCGAAGCUCUUGAUCGAAGCCCCGGUAAACGGCGGCCGUAACUAUAACGGUCCUAAGGUAGCGAAAUUCCUUGUCGGGUAAGUUCCGACCUGCACGAAUGGCGUAAUGAUGGCCAGGCUGUCUCCACCCGAGACUCAGUGAAAUUGAACUCGCUGUGAAGAUGCAGUGUACCCGCGGCAAGACGGAAAGACCCCGUGAACCUUUACUAUAGCUUGACACUGAACAUUGAGCCUUGAUGUGUAGGAUAGGUGGGAGGCUUUGAAGUGUGGACGCCAGUCUGCAUGGAGCCGGCCUUGAAAUACCACCCUUUAAUGUUUGAUGUUCUAACGUUGACCCGUGAUCCGGGUUGCGGACAGUGUCUGGUGGGUAGUUUGACUGGGGCGGUCUCCUCCUAAAGAGUAACGGAGGAGCACGAAGGUUGGCUAAUCCUGGUCGGACAUCAGGAGGUUAGUGCAAUGGCAUAAGCCAGCUUGACUGCGAGCGUGACGGCGCGAGCAGGUGCGAAAGCAGGUCAUAGUGAUCCGGUGGUUCUGAAUGGAAGGGCCAUCGCUCAACGGAUAAAAGGUACUCCGGGGAUAACAGGCUGAUACCGCCCAAGAGUUCAUAUCGACGGCGGUGUUUGGCACCUCGAUGUCGGCUCAUCACAUCCUGGGGC
Molecule: ribosomal RNA, 2150 nt
Filed under: Escherichia coli
Lineage: Bacteria; Pseudomonadati; Pseudomonadota; Gammaproteobacteria; Enterobacterales; Enterobacteriaceae
Description: partial 23S ribosomal RNA
Rfam family: Bacterial large subunit ribosomal RNA
Source: RNAcentral